GCGGGUCGCUGCUUGGCUGUGGGUUAGCAGCACCCUGAGCGGAGCGGAAGAGCUGCCCGCCGCCGCGUAACCCCGAGGCCGAGACUCCUGGCCUGGCCUCCUUGGGCCCACGACGCCUGCCCCGCGGAGCGGACCCAUGGGCCUGAGGUUUGUGUGCGGGGCCUCAGGCGAGCGCUGGCGCAGCCUGUCCCCCAUCGUCUGCGCCCUGCGGGCCUGGCCCUCCCCGUGGAAGGACCGCGGGCUUCGGGGCCCCACGCUGGGGGGCUGACUCCUGCCACACACACAGCGGUGGCCGCGGGCCUGGGGCGGCAGCACAGCCAUUCUGCUCGGGCUGCGUGAGCUGACCCCGCUCUCUGUGCACCUACUUUUGCUGCGUUUGGUGCUGAGCCUGAAGUCCCAGGACAGGCGGCUGAGGGGGAAAGAUGGUGUGAAUUGGGUGGGCAGAGACAACUGAAAGCCACAGGACCCGGUUGGCACCUUUUUGGCCGCCUGCGCCUUUGCCUGCAGCCCCGCUCCCUGGGUCACCCGAAGGAGGAGCUGGCGCUCUUUCCGGGCGCAGAAGCACCCGACCCACGCUGGAGGAAACGGUCCCUCUGGGCAGGAGAAGCUUUGGGCCUGGCUGGAGCACACUCACGGAACCACGCCAACGCCUGGCCUGUAGCCAGCUCCCACCUCCCCUCCCACCUUCUAAAAUGCUUGCGGAUCUCACGUGGCCGACCCUAACCAGAUACACAUGGGGAAAGGAAUCAGGUGGCACACAUACCGCCUUUACUCCAUAGAGAACUUCCAAUUGUGGGUCGGCACAGACGCAACCCAGUCUCCUCCCACCUCCGAGAGUGCAGUGUCCUGAAUGGAGAACCCCAGCACCCAGAAGCAUCCACUGAAGGACUAAAUUCUACACAUGAAGGCAAACGUCCGUGGUUGACAGAAAUUACACUGGCCAGAAUCCCCAGUCCCCAUGAGGCUUGUCCAGACGCAGUGAACCAGUCGCAGCUGAUAACACACAGACCAUUCCCGAUCCCAGAGGUGCAUUUCAGGAUUCAUUCUAUUUCAUCAGAGACGGGGUCUUCCUGUGUUGCCCAGGCUGGUCUCGAACUCCUGGGCUGAAGCAAUCUUCCUGCCUUGGCCUCCCAGAGGGUUGGAAUUGCAGAUGUGAGGUGUGUCCUGGAACCCUGGCUGCACCCACAGAUACAGCCACUCCUGGGCCCAUGUGGAUGUAACCUUCGAGUGCCGGAAUGCCUCGUCUCCAUGGAGACCAAACUCAAGGGCCUGACUGGCCCAGUCUACCGAGACCAUGAGACCUGCUGUGCCCCUCGGCCAGGCCAACCCAAAUUCUUUUAAAUAAAAGGCACAAGCCACA
This 1360-nucleotide long non-coding RNA is filed under the name Homo sapiens (human). Its description in RNAcentral is "NOP14 antisense RNA 1". The record is from RNAcentral. Lineage: Eukaryota; Metazoa; Chordata; Mammalia; Primates; Hominidae.